Ipomoea nil (Japanese morning glory) is the source of this 350-nucleotide long non-coding RNA. RefSeq lists it as uncharacterized. Lineage: Eukaryota; Viridiplantae; Streptophyta; Magnoliopsida; Solanales; Convolvulaceae. The record is from RefSeq and is a predicted model, not a curated record. The transcript is spliced from 3 exons.
UUCAUAGGAAAAUCCAAAACAAACCCGAAUGAUGAAUUUUGAAAGUGGUGAUCAAUCUGCUGUCCAAUUACGACCACUUCUUGUUGAUGAUGAUACACUGCAGCAAUUGGGAGAUGAAUCUAAGAGAAUGAUAUUAAAGACUUGUUGACGAUGCGAUGGCUUGAUGUGACCAUAUUACAAAUAUUCAUAAUAUGUCUUAGUCGGAUGUGCUCCAAAAUUGGAGUUCAUACAAUUGGAUUCCUCUGCCCAAGGACUAUUUGUGCUGCCUCUGUACUUGCAGAUAUUGAUAAGGUCACAAAAUAUCUUGUGAAUGCCAUGGUUGAACAGACGAAUCGACACUUCAUUUUAGC